Molecule: ribosomal RNA, 405 nt
Filed under: uncultured bacterium
Lineage: Bacteria
Description: partial 16S ribosomal RNA
Rfam family: Bacterial small subunit ribosomal RNA
Source: RNAcentral
AUUGAACGCUGGCGGCAUGCCUAACACAUGCAAGUCGAGCGAAGCGGGGACGGGUGAGUAACACGUGGAUACCCUCCUAUAAGACUGGGAUAACUUCGUGAAACCGGAGCUAAACCGGAUACUUAUGGAUUGAUCCGCGCUGCAUUAUCUAGUUGGUAAGGUAACGGCUUACCAAGGCAACGAUGCAUAGCCGACCGGAGAGGUGGACGGGCCAAACGGGAACUGAGACAGGGUCCAGACUCUGACGGGAGGGAGAAGGAGGGAAUCUUCCGAAAGGGGGGAAAGCCGGACGGAGCAAGGCGGGGUGAGUGUGGAAGGUUUUGGGAUCGUAAACCUCGGUUAUCAGGGAGGCGGUACCUAAACAGAAAGCCACGGCUAACUACGUGCCAGCAGCCGCGGUAAUUC